Molecule: long non-coding RNA, 1031 nt
Organism: Physella acuta
Lineage: Eukaryota; Metazoa; Mollusca; Gastropoda; Physidae
Source: RefSeq, a predicted model, not a curated record
GUUGCUAGGCAGACAUUUUGAAAAUUCAGUGGCCAGUAUCUGCUUAUUACAGGCAGGACAGUGAGACAAAGACUUAGAACAUUCUUCACAGGCAUAUAGAUCACCACAUGGCAGGAACAGGUCUUUGAUGGGCGCCUGCUUGCACACUCUGCAGGAUGAAAAGAAAAAGUACCAGCAUAAAAAAAUCCAGCAGCGGCCAGAUCUGCAGGCUGAUGAAUGUGAGUGGACGGCCACUGGGUGAAGCUCUCCAGCCUUUUCUUCAAUGUGAUGUAAGCAGGAUUUGAUGGGUGGCUGUAUGCUCUGGUAUCCUGGGCUUGUGCAACUGGACGGAGGGUUUCUUGAACAACUUGUGUAGGAUUUGGACGAGAGGAUGAAUCUCUUCAACAUUUGCCCUAACAAGUUGAUCCCCAAACCCAGUGACUUGUGAGGCAUACACACAGUUUCUCUCAUGAUACUGUCUGUCAGCUGGAUCAGAGGUAAAGUGGGAUAUGGCGUGUGUUUUCCUACAGCCUAUGCAGAUGAUGGUAGAGUGUUGGGUAGAAAAAAAGAACCCAGCGUCAGCCAAUUCAGAUACGUACACGUCACCAAUUGCACCUGUGACAGCUCGUCUAAAUGUAGCAAGUCGUGACAAAAGACUGUUGUACUCAGUGUUCCAUUCAUCCAUUUAAUUUAUAUAUACGAAGCGGAAGAAGAUACUAAUCAUUUACCCAAGCCUUAUUAUUAUGGUAUCCAAGGCAGACUGGACAGCAAUGUGCAAUGGCUACCAGUCACACCAAACUUCUAAGAAGCAGGCUGAUUAGUGAAAUCAUUAUGUACAUUAAACAUAUUAAAUGAAUAAAAUUAUUAUCUUACAGAUAGAAAUCGAUAAACUGAGAUUCGAUUAAGUCAAUGUUUAAAACUUUGAAAAUAAAUAUAAACACACAUGUUUAAUUUGACUGAUAAUAUUGUUUCUACUAACUUAUUAUUGAUAGUUGGUUACCGCCUCCUACCUAUACUCUCUUAAAAUCGUUAAUAUUUAAUUUCAAGCAAUA